AACAGGAUUAGAUACCCUGGUAGUCCAUGCCGUAAACGAUGUCUACUAGCCGUUGGGGCCUUUGAGGCUUUAGUGGCGCAGCUAACGCGAUAAGUAGACCGCCUGGGGAGUACGGUCGCAAGACUAAAACUCAAAUGAAUUGACGGGGGCCCGCACAAGCGGUGGAGCAUGUGGUUUAAUUCGAUGCAACGCGAAGAACCUUACCUGGUCUUGACAUAGUAAGAACUUUCCAGAGAUGGAUUGGUGCCUUCGGGAACUUACAUACAGGUGCUGCAUGGCUGUCGUCAGCUCGUGUCGUGAGAUGUUGGGUUAAGUCCCGCAACGAGCGCAACCCUUUUCCUUAUUUGCCAGCGGGUUAAGCCGGGAACUUUAAGGAUACUGCCAGUGACAAACUGGAGGAAGGCGGGGACGACGUCAAGUCAUCAUGGCCCUUACGACCAGGGCUACACACGUGCUACAAUGGUCGGUACAAAGGGUUGCCAAGCCGCGAGGUGGAGCUAAUCCCAUAAAACCGAUCGUAGUCCGGAUCGCAGUCUGCAACUCGACUGCGUGAAGUCGGAAUCGCUAGUAAUCGUGAAUCAGAAUGUCACGGUGAAUACGUUCCCUGGCCUUGUACACACCGCCCGUCACACCAUGGGAGUGGGUUGCUCCAGAAGUAGCUAGUCUAACCUUCGGGGGGGGCGGUUACCACGGAGUGAUUCAUGACUGGGGUGAAGUCGUAACAAGGUAACC
Molecule: ribosomal RNA, 732 nt
Filed under: uncultured bacterium
Lineage: Bacteria
Description: bacterial SSU rRNA
Rfam family: Bacterial small subunit ribosomal RNA
Source: RNAcentral